RNAcentral lists this long non-coding RNA (3407 nucleotides) under Drosophila guanche. Lineage: Eukaryota; Metazoa; Arthropoda; Insecta; Diptera; Drosophilidae. The record is from RNAcentral.
GUCUGCAUUUAUCAAGCGCCAAACAAGGCGGCGCAAAAAAGCGCAUAGAAUUUAUAACAAUUGUUUUACAAUUUUACAAUGAAAAAGGAAAACAGCAGAAGAGCGGACAAGAGAGAUGUCUCCACUUAGGCAUUGUUGUCUGGCGUUACUUUUAUUUUUUCGGGCGUGGCGCCACUUCUAUUUAAUAUUGUGGAAAUUAGAGCAGCAAUCCGGCGGAAAUAUUUAGCCAAUUGGCAACAUCAUUUAACGGCAGGCAGGGCCACGCUGCAGGCGCCAUGAUUUAUGCUGCAGCCUUUUCUUUUCCGUAAAAGUUUUUUGUAAAACUUUUCCUGCCUCACAUGCUCAGCAAAUGUGCGUGUGUGCGUGUGUGCGUAUGUGUGUGACUGCAAUUGUGCACUAAUUUGCAGUUGGUUUAAUAAAUUUUCCCCUGCGCUGCGCCACAUGCGUGCAAAAGCGCAAAAGUUCUGCGAGUGCGGGUCGCAAAGUUUUAAUUUCUUGUUUGGCAGGGCCAUUGUGUCAUAAAUUCUUGCCGCUCCACUGGCCAAGGCUCUCCGCGCUGCCUGUGUAUGUGUGUGUGUGUGUGUGUGUGUGUUGCACGACCCACAGCGUGAUAAUUGUAUUGGUAAUUAAUUCCAGUGGCAACAAGGCCUAAGCUGGCCCCAUAAAUACGGCCAAAGUCCGGCCAAAUGGCAAUUAAGGCGCGGAAACAGUCUCUGCUCGAUAAGAAGGUUGACGUUCCUUUUUUUCCUUCCCACUCUGCCUCCAUUUCUAUGCAAAUGAAGUGCAAUCAGCUUGCAGCUGGCAGCGGCAAAAGCAGUUGCAAUAACCAACAAGAACGAAAGCAAUAACAAUGGCGAGGAGAGGCAAAAAUGUUAACAUGAAUUAGCCAGCAAGUACUCCAUGCAGUCGAGAUGGCAACAGGAAGCGGAUGCAAUAAAGUAUGCACCAGGAGCAAUAAAAAGUGCCAGGACGUGCCCCAAGAAGCUGGGCUGGCGCUGGCGCUGGAGUUGGCCCACAUUGAACCACCAUCGAGCUGCGACUUGGGAAACGGAAGAAGUAGGAGAAAUGGAAGAUGGCAAAACUACUACCCAGAAGCGGGGUGCAGAAAGCAGCGAUAACAGAGCCGAAGAAGAACCAACAAUUAGAUGGCAAACGAAUGCCUUAAAGUAGUCAACUCUUGAAGAGAAAGAUGACUCCAAGCUGAUGCUCUGCCAGAGCGCCACUUGCCCACAUCCACAUGUAGAGCCACAGCCACAUCCUGGCGACAAACACAAGGAUUAUGCAAAUGAAGUAAGGGGGCCCCUUGAAAUUCAUAAACAUUUAAUAUUUUAUGGGGCAUUCAUGAACAUUUAGGCGUCACUGCAAGUGCGUGUCGGUGUGUGGCAAAAACAAUUCCUAGUUCCCACAUCCCAGCUCCCAGUCCCGAGAUGCUGCUGUUGCCAUUGUUUGUUACUGCUGCCUGCAUGUUGUUUAUUUGUUGUUUUUCGCUCGACACUGGAGGCACGAGAGGCAACACAAUUUAUGUACCACUAUGUGCCCAUACAUACAUUUGUACAUAUGCAUAAAUCCACCGUACCUACUCGUACAUAGAGCAACCAUAUGAAUAUCAAAGUGUUUUGCAUGAAUUUCUUGUGCUCCAUUGGUGAAAUUUUACUUGUCAUUGUUGCGUGCUGAAUAAAAGAUGAGAGACUUGAGAGAUGCAGCCAGCAUGGAGGAGGGAUUAUGCCCUGUCUCUGGUGCACUCCACGGGCUAAUCACCCAAUUCCGUUGCAGGAUUCAAUCGGAAUAAAAGCAGCAAAAGGGAACACAACAGAGACCAGGGAAUAGAGAGAUAGCGAAGAGAUAGGGCCCAACUGCCAUUCACGCAAUUAACUAACUUGGCCCAAAUGGCACUAAAGCUUUUAUCUUAUUAUCCUGGCAAAAUACCCAAAGCGUUGACAAGCAAACACAAACAAAUGAAGCAGGCAAGAUGGCAAAUAGUCAAAGCAGCGAACGGCGAAAGGAACAAAAACAGAAGGCUAAGAGGGGCCGAGCUGGGCUAUAACGAAACCAAAAAUGUCCGCAGGACACGGGACGAAAAUAAAAAGAGAGCAAAGCGAGUGCCCAGACCGGGUCGGGGUCGUUGUCGGGUCGGUUGGGGUCCUCGUUGGUGGCUAGGUGACAGCAGCAGCAGCGGCAGCGGCCAAAGCGCAUUAUGUCCUUGUCUUUGGCUCCUUCGUGUUUUUUUUUUUGUUGUUUUUUGUUUUUUGUGCGCUAUCUCUCUCCUGUGGCCGCUUUGUUAUUUCGAUUUUAUUCUCUAACGAUUUUCCGCCUUUGAUUGCGCACCUUUUUCUAGUUUUUACUCUUCACCUUUUCGCCCGCGUCUUCCUUCACCUGCCGUUACUUUGCUUUGCUCUGCGUUGUCAGUGAGGGGUAUGGGAGGCUGGGGGGUUAUAAAUAUGAGCAAACAUUUCGCAAGAUAUCCUUAAUUAAAGCAAUUUCCUUCUGUCAGAGUGGGCAAAAGGAAGAGGGCAAAAGGCGACGCUGGGAAUGAAAUUUUGCCGAGGAUGGCCAAAGGAAAUAAGCUGCCGUGUCCCCGCCAUAAAGGUGCUACCGAAAAUGUCAGGACAAUGACCUGUUACGCACACUUGCACACACACAAAAACGAAAACACACACACAAGCACAAGCACAAGCACAAGAUACGCCCCCGUGGCAAAGGGGUUAAGAGCGAAUCUUCGUGUGGCCAUUAACAUGAAAUUUUUACCGUCAGCCGCAAAAAGAGUGCCCGAGCGGCAAGGAUUUCGGUGGGGUCACGUCACGUGGCCCGCCAUUGUUGCGGCUCCUCUCUUCUCCGUCCUGCUCUGCUCUGCUCUGCCUGUGACUCCUGCUGCCUCCUCCUCCUGCUGUGGCUCGUGCUCCUCCACCAUAAGCAGCGCCGUAGGAGCUGAAACAGCUUUUGUCUACUGGUCUCCGUACGGCCACCUGUCCGCUCCCCUCCCCUCCCCUUUCAGGUGCGACAGGGGUAGAAAGAGAGCGAGCAGACAUGCUUUUUGUUCGUAAGUUCGCUUUUUCAUAGUUCCUCCUGCUCCGCUUUAAUCCGGCGCGUAUGUCCUUGCACAACAUCCUUUGCAUUGUUUGCGCUAUAAAUACACGAUGCUGGAGGUGCGCAACGAGCAGCACCACAACGUGCACCACCACACUCACCCACCCAACCACUCACAGCCACACGCCCACGACAACGACAGCAACAGCAAACGGCAAAGGCUUAUCCUUGGCGUCUUCGACGGCGUCGCACAGGAUGGCCCGCUUAUUUAUCGCAUUUUUAUGUGAAAUAAACGAUUCGGAAUUGGCUACGUAAAACAUUAAUUUUAUUGUGGGGGAAAUUGAGAUUGCAAAACGAAAUAACAACAGCCACGGCAGCAGCGC